RNAcentral lists this transfer RNA (71 nucleotides) under Protonibea diacanthus. RNAcentral describes it as "tRNA-Val". It matches the Rfam family "tRNA". Rfam says of the family: Transfer RNA (tRNA) molecules are approximately 80 nucleotides in length. Lineage: Eukaryota; Metazoa; Chordata; Actinopteri; Sciaenidae. The record is from RNAcentral.
CAGGGUGUAGCUUAAAUAUAAAGCGGUUCCCUUACACCGAGCAGCCAUUCGUGCAAACCGAAUUACCCUGA